Molecule: long non-coding RNA, 285 nt
Filed under: Mytilus galloprovincialis (Mediterranean mussel)
Lineage: Eukaryota; Metazoa; Mollusca; Bivalvia; Mytilida; Mytilidae
Source: RNAcentral
CGGACUUAUACAUUUCUCUAAAAGCAUACAGUUCUAAAAUGUGUGUAUUUUCUUGUCUCAAUUACCAUGUCCAUGUAUGAGGAUAAGAAUAGGUCACCAUUUAUAAAGAUAGAAAGAAUAUAUAGAUGAUGAAAUAUAAAGAACAUAUUGAUUGAUUGUUUGGUUGUUUAACAUUCAAUGGCAAAUAUUUGAUGCAUUUAAGGCAGGCAAAUAUUCAGUAUAAAGAUAAAUAAGGUAAAAAAAAAGAUAUAGAAAUAUAGAAAUGAUGAUCUGAGCUCCCAUCCC